This 73-nucleotide microRNA precursor is filed under the name Pelodiscus sinensis (Chinese soft-shelled turtle). RNAcentral's name for it is "miRNA (ENSPSIG00000019400.1)". Lineage: Eukaryota; Metazoa; Chordata; Testudines; Trionychidae. The record is from RNAcentral.
CCUGAGCCAAAGUGCGGGGAGGACAAUGAGAACCAUUCCAUUGACUUCAAUGGGCUUUGGAUCAGGCCCUUGA